This 29-nucleotide non-coding RNA is filed under the name Rattus norvegicus (Norway rat). Lineage: Eukaryota; Metazoa; Chordata; Mammalia; Rodentia; Muridae. The record is from RNAcentral.
UGAAUUUUACGUAGUACUGUCCGCCAAAG